CCUACGGGAGGCUGCAGUGAGGAAUAUUGGUCAAUGGAGGCAACUCUGAACCAGCCACGUCGCGUGAAGGAAGACGGCCCUACGGGUUGUAAACUUCUUUUGUAAGGGAAUAAAGUGUAGUACGUGUACUAUUUUGCAUGUACCUUACGAAUAAGGAUCGGCUAACUCCGUGCCAGCAGCCGCGGUAAUACGGAGGAUCCGAGCGUUAUCCGGAUUUAUUGGGUUUAAAGGGUGCGCAGGCGGGAGAUUAAGUCGGUGGUGAAAUUUUGCAGCUUAACUGUAACAGUGCCAUUGAUACUGGUUUUCUUGAGUGUGGAUGAAGUAGGCGGAAUUUGUGGUGUAGCGGUGAAAUGCAUAGAUAUCACGAGGAACUCCGAUCGCGUAGGCAGCUUACUAAACCAUAACUGACGCUCAUGCACGAAGGCGUGGGGAUCAAACAGGAUUAGAUACCCGGGUAGUC
This 460-nucleotide ribosomal RNA is filed under the name uncultured Porphyromonadaceae bacterium. RNAcentral describes it as "bacterial SSU rRNA". It matches the Rfam family "Bacterial small subunit ribosomal RNA", at positions 338 to 795 of the family's 1533-position model. Lineage: Bacteria; Pseudomonadati; Bacteroidota; Bacteroidia; Bacteroidales; Porphyromonadaceae. The record is from RNAcentral.